RNAcentral lists this non-coding RNA (29 nucleotides) under Rattus norvegicus (Norway rat). The record is from RNAcentral. Lineage: Eukaryota; Metazoa; Chordata; Mammalia; Rodentia; Muridae.
UGGAGAAGUUCUGGUGUUGAGACUCCUCA